CUACGUGCCAGCAGCCGCGGUCAUACGUAGGUCCCGAGCGUUAUCCGGAGUGACUGGGCGUAAAGAGUUGCGUAGGCGGUCAAGUUAGCGAGCGAUGAAAACUAUCGGCUCAACCGAUAGCUUGUUGUUCGAACUGCUUGACUCGAGAGUAUCAGAGGUCGCUGGAAUUCCUAGUGUAGCAGUGAAAUGCGUAGAUAUUAGGAAGAACACCGAUGGCGUAGGCAGGCGACUGGGAUAUUUCUGACGCUAAGGCACGAAAGCGUGGGUAGCGAACCGGAUUAGAUACCCGGGUAGUCCACGCCGUAAACGAUGGAUGCUAAUUGUUUGAGGUAUCGACCCCUCGAGUAAUAAAGCUAACGCGUUAAGCAUCCCGCCUGUGGAGUACGGCCGCAAGGCUAAAACAUAAAGGAAUUGACGGGGACCCGCACAAGCGGUGGAGGAUGUUCUUUAAUUCGACGUUAAGCGAAGAACCUUACCAGGGCUUGACAUCCCUAGAACUUUUUCGAAAGAAAAAGGUGC
Molecule: ribosomal RNA, 519 nt
Filed under: uncultured bacterium
Lineage: Bacteria
Description: bacterial SSU rRNA
Rfam family: Bacterial small subunit ribosomal RNA
Source: RNAcentral